AUGAAACCUCUUUCAGACGUUGUGUCAAGAAUGCUCUUCUAUAAAAGAGUAUUUAAUGAGAAAGGGUGUCCUCAAGAGUUGGUGCAAGUAUCCAAAGACAUUUUGAAAAAAUGUGGUGGCAUACCAUUAGCUAUUAUUUCUAUAGCAAGUCUUCUGGCUAAUAAUCAUGAGAUGAAAACAAAGGACCAAUGGUAUGCUUUGCUCAAUUCCAUUGGUCGCGGACUUACAGAAGAUUGCGGUUUGGAGCAGAUGAAAAAGAUAUUAUUAUUCAGUUAUUAUGAUCUACCUUCGUAUCUAAAACCUUGUUUGUUAUAUCUUAGCAUCUUCCCAGAAGAUCACAAGAUUAUGAAAGGAAAGCUAAUAUGGAGAUGGAUAUCAGAAGGUCUUGUUUAUAGUGAAAAACAAGAAACUGACUUAUAUGGGCUUGGUAACAACUACUUCAAUGAACUUGUAAAUAGAAGUAUGAUCCAGCCAAUUUGCAUUGAUGAUAGAGAAGAUAAACAAGCGUGUCGUGUACAUGACAUGGUGCUUGAUCUCAUAUGCUCACUGUCAAGUGAAGAAAACUUCGUCACAAUUUUGGAUGGCACCGGAAGAAAAAUGCCUAAUUUGGUUCGCAGAUUGUCCAUCCAAAAUAGCAAGAUGGAUGUUGAUAUUUCUAGGAUGGCACACAUGAGAUCUAUUACCAUUUUCACCAAUAAGGUUGUCGGGAAACUGUUGGAUAUUUCAAGUUUUCAAGUUCUUCGUGUGUUGGAUUUCGAAGGUUGUGAUAUCUCGGAUAUUGGGUAUGUGGGAGAUCUUUUACAUCUGAGGUACUUAGGACUAAGAUAUACUCAUGUUGAGGACCUUCCCACUGAAAUUGGGAAGCUACAAUUUUUGCUUACCUUGGAUUUAAGAGGUACUAAGAUAAAAGUUCUGCCAUCAAGUGUUGUUCAUCUAAGACGUCUGAUGUGCCUGCAUGUUGACUAUCAUAUGAAGCUGCCGUCUGGGAUAAGUAAUCUGGUUUCCCUAGAAGUGCUAGGUACAAUGAUGAUGUUUGACAAGGACCUCAAUGCUGUGAAAGAAUUGGGCCAUCUGACCAAGCUCAGGGUGCUCCAAGUUUACUACCAUGUUGAUGAGAUCCUGGAUAAAGCUUUGAUGAGAUCUCUUAGUAAUCUGUACAAACUGGACAGUCUAGAUAUUUAUGUCCGUGGUGGAGAAAUCAAUUUCCUGAGCGAAGAUUGGGUGCCUCCUCUGCAACUCCGUAGAUUGGCUUUCUCGUUACCGUCGAGUUGGUUCAAGACACUGCCAUCAUGGAUCAAUGCUUCAUCGCUUUCUCUCCUCACCUAUCUUCAUAUAAAGGUGGUUAAAGUGUCAUCGGAGGCCAUCCAACUUAUUGGGAUGCUUCCUGCUCUUUGUGUUCUCGAGAUAAUGGAUAUUUCUAAGUUCUAUGAAGAGCGUGUGGUGGAAAUGUCCGCCCUUUCCUCUGUUGCGUUAUUCCCGUGUGCGACGGAGUGUCACUUCCUUUGUAUUGGUGCAGUGCCAUCUAUGUUUCCACGAGGAGCUGCACCGAGGCUUAAGCACCUUGGCUUCACCUUCUCAGCUAAGUGGAUCACCCGUGAAAACAUCGAUUUGUGCAUGUGCCACCUCCCUUCCUUGGAGCGAGUUGAGGUUAAAGUUAUUAAGGAGGAAGCUAGUGAUCGCGAGGUGUAUGAAGCAAAGGUAGUGCUGAGGGCCGCAGCAGAGGACCACCCCAACCAUCCCGUCCUUGACUUACAUUGA
This 1758-nucleotide ribosomal RNA is filed under the name Triticum aestivum (bread wheat). RNAcentral's name for it is "partial small subunit ribosomal RNA". Lineage: Eukaryota; Viridiplantae; Streptophyta; Magnoliopsida; Poales; Poaceae. The record is from RNAcentral.